AUGGCAAGAAAAACGACACCGCUAUGCUACGUAAGUUUCUACGUAAGGUGCUCGGUAUUUCACUUAGGCUACGUAAGUCUCUACGUAAGGUGCUCGGUAUAGAUCUACCAACGGUUGGUAGCCGCGUGCUGUGCACGUGCACGGCAGACAUUGUGUUGCAUGCAGUGCAUGCAGUCCGUGUUCGGAUGUGCAUGCGCGAGGAACUUCCUCCUUUGGAACUGCUUCUUGUAUGAGCUGUUUCGGAUAUUUCGUCUCCUAGAUCCUGGCCUGGCUUAUUUCGUUUCGGCGCUGCUGAGACCUCCUUUCGCGGAAUAUUACUCAAUAUCGACAGUGUGCGAAGAACGCGAGUUCACCUUCUUGACGAAAAUCGUGGACUAACAGUUCGAAGUCAUUGAACUACUUCCAAAAGUUGUAUCGACAUCAACAGGGUUACGAUUUCAGUGCAAUAUGGUGCAGGAUGACCUUAUCACGAUAACCCAUGAUUAUAAACCAUUAUAAACACAGAAUCAACAAAAACAUCUGCG
Molecule: long non-coding RNA, 524 nt
Organism: Sycon ciliatum
Lineage: Eukaryota; Metazoa; Porifera; Calcarea; Leucosolenida; Sycettidae
Exons: 3
Source: RefSeq, a predicted model, not a curated record